UUUGUAAGCUCCGGCUAACUCCGUGCCAGCAGCCGCGGUAAUACGGGGGGAGCAAGCGUUGUUCGGAUUUACUGGGCGUAAAGGGCGCGUAGGCGGCCACCGCAAGUCGACUGUGAAAUCUCCGGGCUUAACCCGGAACGGUCAGCCGAUACUGCGGGGCUAGAGUGCAGAAGGGGCAACUGGAAUUCUCGGUGUAGCGGUGAAAUGCGUAGAUAUCGAGAGGAACACCUGCGGCGAAGGCGGGUUGCUGGGCUGACACUGACGCUGAGGCGCGAAAGCUAGGGGAGCGAACGGGAUUAGAUACCCCGGUAGUCCUAGCCUUAAACGAUGAAUGCUUGGUGUCUGGGGUUUUAUAGUCCCCGGGUGCCGUCGCUAACGCUUUAAGCAUUCCGCCUGGGGAGUACGGUCGCAAGACUGAAACUCAAAGGAAUUGACGGGACCCGCACAAGCGGUGGAGCAUGUGGCUAAUUCGACGCAACGCGAAGAACCUUACCUGGGCUAGA
Molecule: ribosomal RNA, 503 nt
Filed under: uncultured Rhodopseudomonas sp.
Lineage: Bacteria; Pseudomonadati; Pseudomonadota; Alphaproteobacteria; Hyphomicrobiales; Nitrobacteraceae
Description: bacterial SSU rRNA
Rfam family: Bacterial small subunit ribosomal RNA
Source: RNAcentral